GACUUCAUGGAUGGGCAUCUGUCUUAAUUGAAUUGCUUAUGGAUAAAAUCAUGUUGAAAUUUGUAUUCGAACAAAGGAAAAUGUUGAGUUUUAAAGGGAGAUGCUGUCAAAUUUUUCUAUAUGAAUUUGGAAAUAGUUAAAAGUUUUGUAGUAAAAUUUAUAGCUAGAAAGUACAAUUUAAAAGUAUUAAUUAUAAAUAAUUUAAGAGCUACGUGGAUUUGAUCCUCCAUAGUGCCAAGGGGUUAGAAAGUUUGAGUAGUAAUAUGUAAAUUUCAGG
RNAcentral lists this unclassified non-coding RNA (277 nucleotides) under Hevea brasiliensis (rubber tree). Lineage: Eukaryota; Viridiplantae; Streptophyta; Magnoliopsida; Malpighiales; Euphorbiaceae. The record is from RNAcentral.